AAAUGAAUUGACGGGGGCCCGCACAAGCAGUGGAGUAUGUGGUUUAAUUCGAAGAUACGCGAAAAACCUUACCAGGGCUUGACAUCCUCAGAAUCCUUUGGAAACAAAGGAGUGCCUUCGGGAACUGAGUGACAGGUGGUGCAUGGUUGUCGUCAGCUCGUGUCGUGAGAUGUUGGGUUAAGUCCCGCAACGAGCGCAACCCCUAUGGUUAGUUGCUAAUGCGUAAUGGCAAGCACUCUAACAAGACUGCCGUUGACAAAACGGAGGAAGGUGGGGACGACGUCAAAUCAUCAUGCCCCUUAUGUCCUGGGCUACACACGUACUACAAUGGCCGUUAACAAUGGGUAGCAAUAUCGCAAGGUGGAGCCAAUCCCCAAAAACGGUCUCAGUUCGGAUUGUGGGCUGAAAUUCGCCCACAUGAAGUUGGAAUUGCUAGUAAUCGCGAAUCAGCAUGUCGCGGUGAAUACGUUCCCGGGCCUUGUACACACCGCCCGU
Molecule: ribosomal RNA, 495 nt
Filed under: uncultured bacterium
Lineage: Bacteria
Description: bacterial SSU rRNA
Rfam family: Bacterial small subunit ribosomal RNA
Source: RNAcentral